This 272-nucleotide long non-coding RNA is filed under the name Dasypus novemcinctus (nine-banded armadillo). RNAcentral describes it as "lncRNA (ENSDNOG00000052973.1)". The record is from RNAcentral. Lineage: Eukaryota; Metazoa; Chordata; Mammalia; Cingulata; Dasypodidae.
GCCUGACAUCAUAAAGCAUCUCUGGAGGCCAUCGGGCCAUCGGGUCCCGUAACUGUGGGAGCACCAAAUGGAGGAAAACUGGGGUUCCCAGAAGGCAGAGCGUCCCAGAUACCCCAAACCAGUCCCAGCUCCACUCCUUGCUGUGUCACACUUCUCUGGACCUCACCCGCAGAAGGGAAGACAAAGUGCUCGACAGGUAGCUCUCAAGCGUUAGCGUGCAUAUGAAACACCUGGCACUUAGUAAAACACAGAUUCCCAGGCAGAAACACACA